Paramuricea clavata is the source of this 245-nucleotide non-coding RNA. NCBI's taxonomy places the organism in Eukaryota, Metazoa, Cnidaria, Anthozoa, Malacalcyonacea, Plexauridae. The record is from the annotation of a GenBank genome assembly.
GUUUGUAACAAGCUGUUAACAAUUUGUAACAAGCUUGAUGGCAUUAUCAGACUUGCAUGUUACAAGGUUGUUCUAACAAGUCUGAUACAGUCAUGAUAUAACAAGAAUGUUACAAGGUUGACGACACAAGGUUGUAACAAUAUUGUUAUAUCAUGACUUUAUCGGACUUGUUGGAACCUUGCACAACAAGCCUGAUAAUAUCAACAAGAUCGUUACAAGUUGUUAACGGCUUGUUCCAUUGGGAC